Non-coding RNA from Myotis lucifugus (little brown bat), 35 nucleotides. The record is from Rfam. Lineage: Eukaryota; Metazoa; Chordata; Mammalia; Chiroptera; Vespertilionidae.
CUGUCUCUUGCUUCAACAGUGUUGGGAUGGAACAG